AUUUUCCGCAAUGGGCGAAAGCCUGACGGAGCAACGCCGCGUGAGUGAUGAAGGCCUUCGGGUUGUAAAGCUCUGUCGGAGGGAACGAAGAUCUGACGGUACCCUCCAAGAAAGCCCCGGCUAACUUCGUGCCAGCAGCCGCGGUAAUACGAAGGGGGCUAGCGUUGUUCGGAAUUACUGGGCGUAAAGCGCACGUAGGCGGCUUUGUAAGUUAGAGGUGAAAGCCCGGAGCUCAACUCCGGAACUGCCUUUAAGACUGCAUCGCUCGAACGUCGGAGAGGUAAGUGGAAUUCCGAGUGUAGAGGUGAAAUUCGUAGAUAUUCGGAAGAACACCAGUGGCGAAGGCGACUCACUGGACACAUAUUGACGCUGAGGUGCGAAAGCGUGGGGAGCAAAC
This 397-nucleotide ribosomal RNA is filed under the name uncultured bacterium. Its description in RNAcentral is "bacterial SSU rRNA". It matches the Rfam family "Bacterial small subunit ribosomal RNA", at positions 361 to 773 of the family's 1533-position model. The record is from RNAcentral.